GAUUAACGCUGGCGGCGUGCAUAACACAUGCAAGUCGAACGAUGAAACUUAACUGAUUUCUUCGGAAUGAUUUUAAGUGGCUUAGUGGCGGACGGGUGAGUAACGCGUGAGUAACCUGCCUUGGAGAAGGGGAUAGCCUUUGGAAACGAAGAAUAAUACCCUAUGAUAUGAUAAUAUCUCAUGAUAUUAUCAUCAAAGAUUUAUCGCUCUAAGAUGGACUUGCGUCUGAUUAGUUAGUUGGUGAGGUAACAGCUCACCAAGGCAGCGAUCAGUAGCCGGCUUGAGAGAGUGUACGGCCACAUUGGGACUGAGACACGGCCCAGACUCCGACGGGAGGCAGCAGUGGGGAAUUUUGCACAAUGGGGGAAACCCUGAUGCAGCGACGCCGCGUGAUUUAGAAGGCCUUCGGGUUGUAAAAAUCUUUUGUAUGGGAAGAAAAUGACAGUACCAUACGAAUAAGGACCGGCUAAUUACGUG
RNAcentral lists this ribosomal RNA (477 nucleotides) under uncultured bacterium. RNAcentral's name for it is "partial 16S ribosomal RNA". It matches the Rfam family "Bacterial small subunit ribosomal RNA", at positions 28 to 507 of the family's 1533-position model. The record is from RNAcentral.